This 432-nucleotide ribosomal RNA is filed under the name Triticum aestivum (bread wheat). RNAcentral describes it as "partial small subunit ribosomal RNA". Lineage: Eukaryota; Viridiplantae; Streptophyta; Magnoliopsida; Poales; Poaceae. The record is from RNAcentral.
AUGCAAAACGACUCUUGGUUGGACAAGAUUAAGCUGCCCGUGGACUGGAAAAUGGCCCACAUUCGGCAAAUUGUGACCCUUUGGGCGCGCUCUCGAGGCAUUCAUCUCGUGGGCGAAAUCAAGGAUGACAUCAUUUCGAAGCACAUGGCAAGCUGGCACUACUCUGCAAUUUUGGCAUACAAAGCGCAAUCCCUUGGCACCAUUAGAUCACCCAUGACUUAUGCGGUUUGGAAGGUUUGGGCGCCUCCUAAGGUGAAAUUCUUCAUGUGGCUUGCAAUCCAGAAACGGAUUUGGAAGGCGGAGGAUAGGCUUCAAAAGUGUGGUUGGCCAAAUUGCGGCCUAUGCCCUCUCUGUAAGAAAACCGAGGAAUCAAUGCCUCAGUGGGCCACCUGUUCUUCAAGUGCCGGUUCACUAAGUGGUUAUGGGGCAUGA